GAGGCAGAAGUCCAAGAAAAGUCGAAGAGGCAGAAGCCAUAGAAAAAAAUCAAAGAAAAAGUCGAAGAGGCAGAAGCCAUAGAAAAAGUCGAAGAAAAAUUCGAAGAGGCAGAAGCCUU
Labeo rohita (rohu) is the source of this 119-nucleotide long non-coding RNA. RefSeq lists it as uncharacterized. The transcript is spliced from 3 exons. NCBI's taxonomy places the organism in Eukaryota, Metazoa, Chordata, Actinopteri, Cypriniformes, Cyprinidae. The record is from RefSeq and is a predicted model, not a curated record.